RNAcentral lists this ribosomal RNA (465 nucleotides) under Vreelandella stevensii. Its description in RNAcentral is "partial 16S ribosomal RNA". It matches the Rfam family "Bacterial small subunit ribosomal RNA", at positions 338 to 795 of the family's 1533-position model. The record is from RNAcentral. Lineage: Bacteria; Pseudomonadati; Pseudomonadota; Gammaproteobacteria; Oceanospirillales; Halomonadaceae.
CCUACGGGUGGCUGCAGUGGGGAAUAUUGGACAAUGGGGGCAACCCUGAUCCAGCCAUGCCGCGUGUGUGAAGAAGGCCCUCGGGUUGUAAAGCACUUUCAGUGAGGAAGAACGCCUGGUGGUUAAUACCCAUCAGGAAAGACAUCACUCACAGAAGAAGCACCGGCUAACUCCGUGCCAGCAGCCGCGGUAAUACGGAGGGUGCGAGCGUUAAUCGGAAUUACUGGGCGUAAAGCGCGCGUAGGUGGCUUGAUAAGCCGGUUGUGAAAGCCCCGGGCUCAACCUGGGAACGGCAUCCGGAACUGUCAAGCUAGAGUGCAGGAGAGGAAGGUAGAAUUCCCGGUGUAGCGGUGAAAUGCGUAGAGAUCGGGAGGAAUACCAGUGGCGAAGGCGACCUUCUGGACUGACACUGACACUGAGGUGCGAAAGCGUGGGUAGCAAACAGGAUUAGAUACCCGUGUAGUC